This 468-nucleotide ribosomal RNA is filed under the name uncultured bacterium. RNAcentral's name for it is "partial 16S ribosomal RNA". It matches the Rfam family "Bacterial small subunit ribosomal RNA", at positions 28 to 507 of the family's 1533-position model. The record is from RNAcentral.
GACGAACGCUGGCGGCGUGCUUAACACAUGCAAGUCGAACGGAAAGGCCCUGCUUUUGUGGGGUGCUCGAGUGGCGAACGGGUGAGUAACACGUGAGUAACCUGCCCUUGACUUUGGGAUAACUUCAGGAAGCUGGGGCUAAUACCGGAUAGGAGCUCCUGCUGCAUGGUGGGGGUUGGAAAGUUUCGGCGGUUGGGGAUGGACUGGCGGCUUAUCAGCUUGUUGGUGGGGUAGUGGCUUACCAAGGCUUUGACGGGUAGCCGGCCUGAGAGGGUGACCGGCCACAUUGGGACUGAGAUACGGCCCAGACUCCUACGGGAGGCAGCAGUGGGGAAUAUUGCACAAUGGGCGGAAGCCUGAUGCAGCAACGCCGCGUGCGGGAUGACGGCCUUCGGGUUGUAAACCGCUUUCGCCUGUGACGAAGCGUGAGUGACGGUAAUGGGUAAAGAAGCACCGGCUAACUACGUG